This 434-nucleotide ribosomal RNA is filed under the name Fusarium keratoplasticum. Its description in RNAcentral is "partial large subunit ribosomal RNA". Lineage: Eukaryota; Fungi; Ascomycota; Sordariomycetes; Hypocreales; Nectriaceae. The record is from RNAcentral.
UUUGAAAUCUGGCUCUCGGGCCCGAGUUGUAAUUUGUAGAGGAUGCUUUUGGUGAGGUGCCUUCCGAGUUCCCUGGAACGGGACGCCAUAGAGGGUGAGAGCCCCGUCUGGUUGGACACCGAUCCUCUGUAAAGCUCCUUCGACGAGUCGAGUAGUUUGGGAAUGCUGCUCUAAAUGGGAGGUAUAUGUCUUCUAAAGCUAAAUACCGGCCAGAGACCGAUAGCGCACAAGUAGAGUGAUCGAAAGAUGAAAAGAACUUUGAAAAGAGAGUUAAACMGUACGUGAAAUUGUUGAAAGGGAAGCGCUUGUGACCARACKUGGGCUUGGUUGAUCAUCCGGGGUUCUCCCCGGUGCACUCUUCCGGCCCAGGCCAGCAUCAGUUCGCCCUGGGGGACAAAGGCUUCGGGAAUGUGGCUCUCUCCGGGGAGUGUUAU